Arachis stenosperma is the source of this 1294-nucleotide long non-coding RNA. RefSeq lists it as uncharacterized. The transcript has 4 exons. The record is from RefSeq and is a predicted model, not a curated record. NCBI's taxonomy places the organism in Eukaryota, Viridiplantae, Streptophyta, Magnoliopsida, Fabales, Fabaceae.
UAUUUUUGCACUAAAUAGUCACACCAAUUUCGCUCUUAGACUUUGAUACAGUUAAUUUAUGAGGUGUUGUUGUGAUGUUGCCCAUUACUUAUAGUUAUAAUUGGUGGCUGCAUAAUAAUUAAAAGUAAUAAAAGUUGAUAUAUUUUUGGAAGCCUUUCUAUGUGAAUUGGAGUGAGUUUGAGUGUUUAUUUCAUCAUAUUCGUUCAAUUUUCUGCAUUGGAAGAGGCAUUGCUUUUCUACUCAACCUGCACUAGAACUUCCGGCCGGUAAGAUCGUGGAUGUGCCGUUGGCACAAACUGGUGAAGGUAUUGCAGAAUGUGAACUUCUCAAAUGGCAUGUCCAAGAGAGCUACUAGAUUCUGAUCUUGAAAAAGGGAAACGUGCUGCAGUGUUAUGAACACCUGCUGUAAGGAGUCUUGCAAAGCAACAUGGUAUAGACAUAAAUGAAGUAUGUGGAACUGGAAAAGAUGGAAGGGUAUUGAAAGAAGAUGUGCUCAAUUUUACUGCUAAGAAGGGAAUAAUUAGAAAUGUAUCUGCUGCUUUGCAUGCUGAUAAUGUAGAGAAGCCUCAAGGAGCAGAAGGAUAGAGUAUGACACCUCACACCUGGUAUAAAUCACCAUCAGAGGAUAGGAUACUUCCCCUAAGGGGAUACCAAAGAGCAAUGUAAAAUCAAUGUCUCUGGCUGCCAAGGUCCCACAUUUCCAUUAUGUAGAUGAGAUAAACUGCAAUGCUCUAGUGGAGCUUAAAACAGCGUUUCAGAAAAACAAUCCUUAUUCAGAUGUCAAGCACACUUUUCUGCCAAUAUUAGUCAAAUCAUUGUCAAUGGCCCUCACCAAGUACCCCUCUUUGAAUAGUUGCUUCAAAGAGGAUUCAAUGGAGGUCAUAUUCAAAGGUUCACACAACAUUGGAGUUGCCAUGGCUACUCCAAAUGGUCUAGUUGUACUAAACAUAAAGAAUGUCCGGUCUCUUUCAAUCUUGCAGGUUAGUUUUCAAUCUUAUGAUUGCUUUAUGCACACAUUGUUAUUUCGAUGAAAGUGCAUGUCAUCAGUUAGAGAGGUCUGAAAGAUAAAUAUGAUUCAUAAUUUGAACUGCUUGAACAACAUAUAUUUUAGUUCUUGACUUACCAUUUUUCUCUUUCGCUGGACUGGUGGUAUUGGACUCAGCUCUGGAAUGGAGACUUGAGAGAAAAAAAAUAAUUUAUGAAAAUUUUAACCUAAUUCUCUAAAAUAUAUUAAUUAUGUGCUUAAUUAGAAAUUUUUAAUUAAAAAUAAAUGAUUUGAACAUUCUAAUGUAUA